Non-coding RNA from Pelobates cultripes (western spadefoot toad), 219 nucleotides. NCBI's taxonomy places the organism in Eukaryota, Metazoa, Chordata, Amphibia, Anura, Pelobatidae. The record is from the annotation of a GenBank genome assembly.
GGUUGGGGGGGGAUUUAAAUUUAAAAAAAGUUAAUGUGUGUGUGUGUUUGUGUCUGACUGUGUGUGUUUGUGAGUGUGUGUGUGUGUGUUUGUGUCUGUGUUUGUGUCUGUGUAUGUGUUUGUGUCUGUGUGUGUGUCUGACUGUGUGUGUGUGUGUGUGUUUGUGUCUGACUGUGUUUGUGUCUGUGUAUGUGUCUGACUGUGUGUGUGUGUGUGUUU